UGAGGAAUAUUGGGCAAUGCCCGAAAGGGUGACCCAGCAACGCCGCGUGGAGGAUGAAGGUCGUAAGAUUGUAAACUCCUGUUAGAGGGGAAGAAUAACUAAGUUUGGAGCUUAGUAUGACUGUACCCUCAGAGAAAGCCCCGGCUAACUACGUGCCAGCAGCCGCGGUAAUACGUAGGGGGCAAGCGUUGUCCGGAUUUACUGGGUGUAAAGGGCGCGCAGGCGGAAUGGAAAGUCAGUGGUGAAAUCCUACAGCUUAACUGUAGAACUGCCUUUGAUACUUUCAGUCUUGAGUUCGGGAGAGAGAGGCGGAAUUCCAGGUGUAGUGGUGAAAUACGUAGAUAUCUGGAAGAACACCAGUUGCGAAGGCGGUCUCUUGGUCCGAUACUGACGCUGAGGCGCGAAAGCGUGG
RNAcentral lists this ribosomal RNA (412 nucleotides) under uncultured bacterium. RNAcentral describes it as "bacterial SSU rRNA". It matches the Rfam family "Bacterial small subunit ribosomal RNA", at positions 355 to 764 of the family's 1533-position model. The record is from RNAcentral.